GACGAACGCUGGCGGCGUGCUUAACACAUGCAAGUCGAGCGGUAAGGCCCUUUCGGGGGUACACGAGCGGCGAACGGGUGAGUAACACGUGGGUGACCUGCCCUCAGCUCUGGGAUAAGCCUGGGAAACUGGGUCUAAUACUGGAUAUGACUCACGGUGCAUGUCGUGGGGUGGAAAGCCUUGUGCGGCUGAGGAUGGGCCCGCGGCCUAUCAGCUUGUUGGUGGGGUGAUGGCCUACCAAGGCGACGACGGGUAGCCGGCCUGAGAGGGCGACCGGCCACACUGGGACUGAGACACGGCCCAGACUCCUACGGGAGGCAGCAGUGGGGAAUCUUGCGCAAUGGGCGAAAGCCUGACGCAGCGACGCCGCGUGAGGGAUGACGGCCUCGG
Molecule: ribosomal RNA, 390 nt
Filed under: uncultured bacterium
Lineage: Bacteria
Description: bacterial SSU rRNA
Rfam family: Bacterial small subunit ribosomal RNA
Source: RNAcentral